AUGGCGAUUAAUGGUGCUGGGGGCGAGCGCGGAUUGGCGCGGCUCCAGCGGGCUCAGGCUGCAUAUGUAAAUGAAGGACGGGGCUCCGCAAUUAGCCGCUUCGCUCCGCCAAAUGAUGCGGCUCCCCGGCACCGGCAGCGCCGCCUGCGAGAGGCACCGACCGCGGCGGCGGCGGCGGCAGCAGCGGCGGCGGCAGAGAAACACACACGCACCACGCAGGAGGGCUCUGUUUUGCACACACUUUACACAACAUAUGUGCAAGGUUCACUUGUUGGGAGAGGUCACGAUCUUCGCCUUUCUGUCUUUCUUUCUUCCCCCCGGCUCUCAGUUUCUUUUGCUCCGCUUUCUUCUGCUCUCUUCGCCUUUUUUUUUUUUUUUUUUUUUUUUUCCUUCUUCACAUCACUCUGCGUCCUCGUCUCCUCCUGGUCUCUCUUUCCCCAGAAGUUGAUCUGCAAAGCAUCUGAUUUCUGUGUACGUGUGAGUAAUUUCUUUGCAGGAGGAAAAGAAACUUUUGUGUGUGCUUCUUUCCUUUCCGCUUUCUUCUCGGUGUGCGUGUGUGCUGCUCUGCUCUUCUUUUCUCUUAAUCUUCACAUGCUCGCCUUUAGCUCUUCCAUCCUGUCUCCUUUUCCGUCUCUGUUUCUCCGUCUCCCCUUCCCGGCUGACUUUUGUUCUCUCCUCUCGCAAGCGCACGCACGCACACACACACACAGAAGACCUUGGGCAGUUUUGUCUUUCACCUCUCCUUCCUUCUUCUUUGUCUUGCAGCUUCUUUCUCCAAGCAGAGACUCCCCGUUGGUGGUGGUGGUCACUUCCUGUUGUCCAUUGGAUUUUCCAGCUUUGCAAUGGGUAUGCACAUGACGACAGCUGCUCCUUGUCACUUUACCUGUAAUCAAGGGGAGAGACACUCUUGGGUCAUACCUCCAGGUGAAGGGAGGUAAAAAAAGAAGGGAGGAAAAAAAAGACUUUAUUGAUAUAGUUUAACUGAGAAAACAUUCAGUUCACACCAAGUUAAGAGGAC
This 1018-nucleotide long non-coding RNA is filed under the name Anas platyrhynchos platyrhynchos (common mallard). Its description in RNAcentral is "lncRNA (ENSAPLG00000030412.1)". The record is from RNAcentral. Lineage: Eukaryota; Metazoa; Chordata; Aves; Anseriformes; Anatidae.